Molecule: long non-coding RNA, 243 nt
Filed under: Setaria viridis
Lineage: Eukaryota; Viridiplantae; Streptophyta; Magnoliopsida; Poales; Poaceae
Description: long non-coding RNA (SVIR_LNC010258)
Source: RNAcentral
GUAACAAAAUGAUGCGUUCACUAGUUCAAAUGUAAACCACUAUUUUAGGAAGAAAAAAAAUUAAUUUUAUAUGUUUUUCAUCCAUUAAAGUAAUUGGUCCACAUAAAUAGAACUAUAUCCAUCAAAAAGUUCUAUACAAGGAUGCCAUCCCUCAACAUUACUCUCCUCCUCUCGCACUAACCAAAGCAUCAGCUAUCCUAGUGCGAAUGGUAUUCAUGGUAUCCUCAUUCUCCACAUCGUCAC